RNAcentral lists this ribosomal RNA (146 nucleotides) under Paramecium calkinsi. RNAcentral's name for it is "5.8S ribosomal RNA". It matches the Rfam family "5.8S ribosomal RNA". Rfam says of the family: 5.8S ribosomal RNA (5.8S rRNA) is a component of the large subunit of the eukaryotic ribosome. Lineage: Eukaryota; Ciliophora; Oligohymenophorea; Peniculida; Parameciidae. The record is from RNAcentral.
AGAAAAUUUUCAACGAUGGAUAUCUGGGUUCCCAUAACGAUGAAGAACGCAGCGAAAUGCGAUACGCAAUGCGAAUAGCAGAUACGCGAGACAUUAGAUCUUCGAACGCAAUUGGCGCUAGUUUACUAGCAUGUUUGUUUCAGUGU